CAGCCCUGGAGCUGGGCCCUGGGCAAUCUCACCCACAUUGUGUUGCACUGCAGUGUGCUUUACUACGCCGUUCUGCUGCAAGCCGUGAGGGAGAGGGGCAGGUAGUGGGGAAGCCACCUCUACAGAGGAGUAUAAAGGGUCUUUAAUGGUAGCGGAGCUGACUUACUGACUUGUUAUGUUUCCUUCCACCAUUCAAGUGAUACCAGUGAUAAGCUUUCUGAAGCAGAAGAAGUGCUGAUUGUGAUGGAGGCUGUAAGAGACGCUACUUUGUCAAAAUUUCCUCCUGAAUAUGUCCCAAUUUUUGAAAAUAUUAUAAGUGAUAUGUUUCCUGGAGUGACAGUUUCAAAAGUAAAUCAACUUGCCUUGGAGAAAGCAGUAUAUAGUGCAACAGAACAAUUAGGCUUACAGCAUUGGGCACCUCAGAAAGAAAAGAUCAUACAGUUUCAUAAUCAACUUCAGGCCUGUGUUGGUGUGAUGUUACUGGGCCCAACAGGUGGUGGAAAGACAACAGUCAGAAAAAUUUUGGAGAAGGCAUUAAUACUAUUACCAACUAUCGACAUCUCAGUUACAGGCAGUGAAUCUACCUCAAAGGUAAAUCUUCUACUCAAUAAAUGGUUCUCCACUUCUUUACAUUUUCUGGAGUCUUUUGGAGUUUU
Molecule: long non-coding RNA, 656 nt
Filed under: Chinchilla lanigera (long-tailed chinchilla)
Lineage: Eukaryota; Metazoa; Chordata; Mammalia; Rodentia; Chinchillidae
Description: lncRNA (ENSCLAG00000027844.1)
Source: RNAcentral